UACGUAGGGCGCAAGCGUUGUCCGGAAUUACUGGGCGUAAAGGGCGCGUAGGCGGUCUUGUAAGUCCUGUGUGAAAUCCCUCGGCUCAACUGAGGAACUGCACGGGAAACUGCUUGGCUUGAGUUCGGGAGAGGGAAGCGGAAUUCCGGGUGUAGCGGUGAAAUGCGUAGAUAUCUGGAGGAACACCGGUGGCGAAGGCGGCAUCCUGGACCGGCAUUGACGCUGAGGAGCGAAAGCCAGGGGAGCAAACGGG
Molecule: ribosomal RNA, 253 nt
Filed under: uncultured bacterium
Lineage: Bacteria
Description: partial 16S ribosomal RNA
Rfam family: Bacterial small subunit ribosomal RNA
Source: RNAcentral